GCUUCGUGCGUCGGUAUGCCGUCCCACACCACGAUGCAGAUCACGAUAAAGGACGCCUUACACCUGUACGGGGGAGAGACAGAAGCGUGCGUUUCUUGUGGUUAGAAAUACGCUAUAAGUAUCGCACGACCCGACCAUAAACUCACCGAUGCCCUUGCCGGCGCUUCACCACAAACAGCAGCUUCUCCUCCGGGUCGACGCGCCGGAUCACCCACUUGGCGAUCGGGCAGCCCUGACUCGACUUGCCCUCCUUGCCGGUGUAGACGACCUUCUCGAUGCGCAGCUGUUUGCCGGUCAGGCCGACGCGCAGUUCCGUCUCCCGCCGCAGAUCUUCCAGUGUCGCUGCACAGCCUGUCGGAAGAGGUAAAGACCGGGACGUGUAAGAGCACGGGAAAAUGGUGAAAGGCAUUUUUCCCAGAGUGCAAUAUCCACCUCUCCAAUCACUUCCACUGCCACGGGUUCGGUGAAUGAGAGCACCAUCUGCACCGAAAAAAAGGAAAAACCACCAUUCACAUGCUGGCCUGGCCGUUCGUCACACACACCGACACACGGACACGGUAAUAAAUUACACACGUACACUCUAUCAUCGAGGAGCAUUCUUGCCUGCUUCUCCUUUUUUCGAGACGGCGGCGCGCAUAUCGGCCGCGAAGGAAUCCAUCAAAACGAUCGCAACGUCUUCUCCUUUGCCAGAGCAGUGAGAAGAAGAAGCAGCAGCAGCAGGAAUGGACCAUUAUAAAAGAUAUUUUCUUAUGGCGGGUCAUUUUCUUCUCCCCGGUGUCUUGUGCGCGCCGUUCUUCUAACACACACACCACACCACCAUGGCCAUUAUGCACGGCCCACAGAAAAGACAUUAGCAACCAUUUGCCUGCCAACAAAAGAGAGACACAACGAGAGAGAAAGAGAAGGAUAGAGCGAUACGUAAGGAAAGGAAAGCAUAAUACCUCAUUUGGGGUUGGGCACUGUGUUCUAGCCGCGAAAUAAAGCCCCCAACAAGAAGACGAAUCGAGUGUGUUGUGGUACAGUGAAGAAAAUGCUACGACUUUUGUGUGCCAAAAAAAAACUAAAUAAUAAUGUAAGAAGAAAAAGAAA
This is a long non-coding RNA of Anopheles arabiensis, 1089 nucleotides long. RefSeq lists it as uncharacterized. Lineage: Eukaryota; Metazoa; Arthropoda; Insecta; Diptera; Culicidae. The record is from RefSeq and is a predicted model, not a curated record. The transcript has 6 exons.